UACGUAGGGUGCAAGCGUUGUCCGGAAUUAUUGGGCGUAAAGAGCUCGUAGGCGGUGUGUCGCGUCGGCCGUGAAAACCUGCAGCUUAACUGUGGGCGUGCGGUCGAUACGGGCAUCACUGGAGUUCGGCAGGGGAGACUGGAAUUCCUGGUGUAGCGGUGAAAUGCGCAGAUAUCAGGGGGAACACCGGUGGCGAAGGCGGGUCUCUGGGCCGAUACUGACGCUGAGGAGCGAAAGCGUGGGGAGCGAACAGG
This 254-nucleotide ribosomal RNA is filed under the name uncultured bacterium. RNAcentral describes it as "partial 16S ribosomal RNA". It matches the Rfam family "Bacterial small subunit ribosomal RNA", at positions 524 to 776 of the family's 1533-position model. The record is from RNAcentral.